Molecule: unclassified non-coding RNA, 395 nt
Filed under: soil metagenome
Description: partial contains 5.8S ribosomal RNA, internal transcribed spacer 2, and large subunit ribosomal RNA
Rfam family: 5.8S ribosomal RNA (bases 1-120)
Source: RNAcentral
GAUGAAGAACGUAGUGAAAUGCGAUAAGUAAUGUUAAUUGCAGAAUUCAGUGAAUCAUCGAAUCUUUGAACGCACCUUGCGCCUUUUGGUAUUCCGAAAGGCACACCUGUUUGAGCGUCAUGAAUACCUCAAUCUCCAUCUUUUCUUCGGAUUGAUGGGUGACUUGGAUGUUGAGCCCUGCUGGUAUGCUAUAUCAGCUGGCUUUAAACUUAUUAGCCGGCUCUGUACUGGAUCGGUUUGACUCGACGUGAUAAUAUUAUCGUUGAGGAUGCAUGUCUCAUGCAGCCGGAAAGUAUCAAAGCAGCUUCUAGCUUGCCUUUAGUGCACUUUUACAUUUUAGACCUCAGAUCAGGUGGGACUACCCGCUGAACUUAAGCAUAUCAAUAAGCGGAGGA